GCCUGCAACUCGGCUGCAUGAAGCUGGAAUCGCUAGUAAUCGCGGAUCAGAAUGCCGCGGUGAAUGCGUUCCCGGGUCUUGUACACACCGCCCGUCACACCAUGGGAGCCGGGAAUGCCCGAAGUCAGCGGCCUAACCGCAAGGGGGGAGCUGCCGAAGGCAGGCCUGGUAACUGGGGUGAAGUCGUAACAAGGUAGC
Molecule: ribosomal RNA, 198 nt
Filed under: uncultured bacterium
Lineage: Bacteria
Description: partial 16S ribosomal RNA
Rfam family: Bacterial small subunit ribosomal RNA
Source: RNAcentral